Hipposideros armiger (great roundleaf bat) is the source of this 475-nucleotide long non-coding RNA. RefSeq lists it as uncharacterized. The transcript is spliced from 3 exons. The record is from RefSeq and is a predicted model, not a curated record. NCBI's taxonomy places the organism in Eukaryota, Metazoa, Chordata, Mammalia, Chiroptera, Hipposideridae.
GGUCCACACCUGGUCCACCAUACACACCAGCAUUCUCAACAUCCUCCAGCAAAUGCCUUCUGACCACCAUUGGCAGGGGUUUGGACAAGAGGGAAAGCCUACUAUGAAGUCUGCAGAGAGGCAUGGCUCUGGAGGCUAGCGGAGAGAGCGCCCCCUGUAACUCCAGCCCUGCCUGCUACAGCUCCACAGUCCCACAAGGCCACAUUGAAGCCCAAACCCUCCCAUGGCUGCCUCUGACAACUCCAGGACACUACCGCACCAGUCAUCCAGGACAGAUAAAGUCCAGAUUCCAACGUGAUGUGCAAGUCUCCUCAAGAUCUGGCUGCUGCUAAAUGGAGGUGUGCUGGUCAAAGAGAAGAAACUUCCAAUUAUAAGAUGAGUAGUUCUGGGGAAUUUAAUGUACAGCCUGGUGAUUAUAGUCUACUUAAUAUACUAUAUUAUAUACUUAAAAGUUGUUAAGAGAGUAGAUCUUAAA